RNAcentral lists this ribosomal RNA (463 nucleotides) under uncultured bacterium. RNAcentral's name for it is "partial 16S ribosomal RNA". It matches the Rfam family "Bacterial small subunit ribosomal RNA", at positions 28 to 507 of the family's 1533-position model. The record is from RNAcentral.
GACGAACGCUGGCGGCGUGCUUAACACAUGCAAGUCGAACGGAAAGGCCUUUUCGGAGGUACUCGAGUGGCGAACGGGUGAGUAACACGUGGGUGAUCUGCCCUGCACUCUGGGAUAAGCCUGGGAAACUGGGUCUAAUACCGGAUAGGACCGCACUUUAGUGUGUGUGGUGGAAAGUUUUUUCGGUGUAGGAUGAGCCCGCGGCCUAUCAGCUUGUUGGUGGGGUAAUGGCCUACCAAGGCGGCGACGGGUAGCCGGACUGAGAGGUUGGUCGGCCACAUUGGGACUGAGAUACGGCCCAGACUCCUACGGGAGGCAGCAGUGGGGAAGAUUGCACAAUGGGCGCAAGCCUGAUGCAGCGACGCCGCGGGGGGGAUGACGGCCUUCGGGUUGUAAACUCCUUUCGCCAGGGACGAAGCGUUUUGUGACGGUACCUGGAGAAGAAGCACCGGCUAACUACGUG